UGAGAGCUGGUGAACUUGCGACACAAAUGAAUUUGAAUCAUUAAAAGGAAUUAACAAUUCCGCUUUCAA
This 69-nucleotide transfer RNA is filed under the name Anodonta cygnea. RNAcentral describes it as "tRNA-Gln". Lineage: Eukaryota; Metazoa; Mollusca; Bivalvia; Unionida; Unionidae. The record is from RNAcentral.